UUUAUUUUUGAGUAAUUUUUUUGUAUAGUUUUUUUAUUUUCUUCUAUUUAUUUUCUUCUGGAAAUUGAAUGUUGCAUACUGAAUAAUUAGGUAAAUGACCGAAAAACAACAAAUGAUGUCAGAACAUGUUGAAAAUUGAUGACAUCGCUUUGAAUGCUGGAUACUGAACACAAAAGAAGUCCGGAGUUCAAAUAAGUUUAAAAACAUUGAAGUGGUCAUGUAACAGAUGAAGUGCGUCCAGUUUUUGCCGUGACCCUCUCUACUCUUUCGCGCAUGCUAUGCGGGUGAUAUGAUGAUACCAUGCCAAGUUUCAACAUUUUUAGGAUUCAUUUUGUAGUGAUUUUCAAUUUCACGGUCAUUUAGUUCUCUAAACAAUUAGGUAAAUGACCGAAAAACAACAAAUGAUGUCAGAACAUGUUGGAAAUUGAUGAUGUCGCUUUAAAUGCUGCAUACUGAACACAAAAGAAGUCCGGAGUUCAAAUAAGUUUAAAAAACAUUGAAGUGGCC
This 507-nucleotide long non-coding RNA is filed under the name Triticum aestivum (bread wheat). Its description in RNAcentral is "long non-coding RNA (TAES_LNC014091)". Lineage: Eukaryota; Viridiplantae; Streptophyta; Magnoliopsida; Poales; Poaceae. The record is from RNAcentral.